CCUACGGGUGGCAGCAGUGGGGAAUAUUGCACAAUGGGGGAAACCCUGAUGCAGCGACGCCGCGUGAAGGAAGAAGGAGUUCGGGAUGUAAACUUCUAUCAGCAGGGAAGAAAAUGACGGUACCUGACGAAGAAGCCCCGGCUAACUACGUGCCAGCAGCCGCGGUAAUACGUAGGGGGCAAGCGUUAUCCGGAUUUACUGGGUUUAAAGGGAGCGGAGGCGGUUUAGCAAGUCAGAAGUGAAAGCCCGGGGCUCAACUCCGGGACUGCUUUUGAAACUGUUGAACGAGAUUGCAGGAGAGGUCAGUGGAAUUCCUAGUGUAGCGGUGACAUGCUUCGCUAUUAGGAGGAACUCCAGUGGCGAAGGCGGCUUACUGGACUGUAACUGCCGCUGAGGCUCGACAGCGUGGGGAGCAAACCGGCUUAGAUCCCCCUGUAGUC
Molecule: ribosomal RNA, 440 nt
Filed under: uncultured bacterium
Lineage: Bacteria
Description: partial 16S ribosomal RNA
Rfam family: Bacterial small subunit ribosomal RNA
Source: RNAcentral